ACCUAUCUGACGAGUCCCAAAGAGAACGAAACGCAUGUCGAGGAU
This is a non-coding RNA of Schistosoma mattheei, 45 nucleotides long. NCBI's taxonomy places the organism in Eukaryota, Metazoa, Platyhelminthes, Trematoda, Strigeidida, Schistosomatidae. The record is from Rfam.